AUUACAGGGGCUGUCUCAUACAUCUGUAGUCCUUCUCUUUCAUGGAAAUAAGCCUGAUGCAAUGUGAAUUCAUCAACACAGGGCAGAAGGUCCAAUUCAAAUCUAGGAAGCUAAAAAGCUGUUCACUUCAGAUCAGAUGGAAGAGUGCUGGGAAAAGCCUGCCCAAGACAACCAGUAACCCAUGGCAUCAUUGUUGACCAUACAUGGGCACUGAUGUUAUUUAUCUAUGUUAUUUAUUAAUUCUUUAAACAGGAAAAAAACCCAUUGAGACUUUUACAAGAGUGUCCUGGCAAGAUGACCAGAAACAGACAGCAGUAAUUUCACAUCCCUAAAAAUAGCAUCACUCUAAGUGACAUCCCAUUUAAAGAAGCCAGUAACCAUAACAAUGUAUAUAAAGUUAUAACAAUGAUUGGUUUGGACAAUGAAAAUUUGGAUUUGUUGAACACGGUUUGGCUGUGGUGCCAUAUACCUAGUCUGGUUUGGUAACGGUUAUCCAUUGCAAAUGAAGGGUGAGUGUGUUGAUCAUCAUGGUUUAAAUAUGUCACUAGAUUAUAUGGGAAAAGAAACUGAUUAAUUUACCAAUACUGCCAAUCCAUCACAAAUACUAAAUUCAGAGCAAAUCUAAAUAAAGACUAAUGAGUCUAAGAUAAAAAAUCAAUGCUAACAUUCAAAAACUUGAAGAUUCUUCGUAUAAGGUUGUGAUCUUGUUCACAUUUGUUGAUAAACGCUCAGCUCUUAAUAGCAUUGUACUAUCAUGCCUGUGAAGUUCAUUUUUUUAUCAUAACUUCUGUUUCGUUUUAAUGGUUGUCCCCUUUGAAAUUGUAUUCUCUAUGUCAAGUACAGUAUACUGUAGUUUAUGUUUUUAAAAUGUACCAAUUGAAGGAUCAUGUGAUGUCAGAGUGAGAGAAGCAGCUUGCUUGCAGAGUUCCGUGGACAAUACCCUAGAAUUCUGCCAUUUUAGAAUUCAACCAUUUUAUUACUUCAAAGUGAAUUUAACCACACAACAUGCCCUGCAGAAAGAUCAAAUGGGAGUCUCUUCAUUACACUUGAGGAGGCUUUUUAAAUUGUAACUGGCAGUAACUGAAACUGGUUUAAUGUGUGUAUAACUGUAUGUUAUGUAUUUUGUUAUUAUGUAACACACUUGUACGGUGUGUCUCUGUAAUAUCUGGCAAUUUGUGUUGUAUUUUUGGGUUUAUUUUAUGUUGUGUUUCUUUGUAAGGAAGGUUUGUUAACUAUACAGAAAACAAUAAAUAAAUAAAAAUGUGUACUGAGUAUA
This is a long non-coding RNA of Acipenser ruthenus (sterlet), 1276 nucleotides long. RefSeq lists it as uncharacterized. The transcript has 2 exons. Lineage: Eukaryota; Metazoa; Chordata; Actinopteri; Acipenseriformes; Acipenseridae. The record is from RefSeq and is a predicted model, not a curated record.